This 967-nucleotide long non-coding RNA is filed under the name Homo sapiens (human). RNAcentral describes it as "HSALNT0329082". The record is from RNAcentral. Lineage: Eukaryota; Metazoa; Chordata; Mammalia; Primates; Hominidae.
GGCCCGGGCGCACGCAGGUGGGGCACAGGCCCAGACGGCAGCCGACUCUCCCGAGACACAGGGCCGAGAAGAACCGUCGGCAAACGCACCAGACGGGCGGAAAAAAAGAGCAGGAUGAAGGGAGGAAGAUAUAGCCAGCCAGAGAAGGGAGAAGAGGAGAAACAUCUGGAAAAUAUCAGUGUUGCAGAGCCUCCCGGAAACUGACCUCGCCACCGAAAGGGUGAAUGGGGUCAAAAUGGAAACAGCAUGAGAGGGGCCACAGAAGGGAUUCACCAGGAAGAAGAGGAAAGGUGGGGCUGAGGUGGCCAGGACAGCACGACAUCACAUCUGACCAAGGCAUCCUCAGCCUUCCUUCAGAAAAGCAGCAGAAGGAAAAAGCUGGUACCAUUCUAAGCUUCAUCAGUGGAGAGUACUGUAGAGACAUUACAGAAAGAAGCAGUUUUCCUUCCUGGUUCCGGUACACUCUUUCUGCAGGCUGCUGCAAACACGCAUGGCUCCUAGAGUAUCCACACCUUCUUCAGCAACUGGCUCCUGCUGAACAUGAUGGUCAGCACCUCCCAGCCUCCAGCAGCUUCCACUGGCAUCCCUCUCGGUUGAUUUUGCAGCAGAAUGCAUCCAGUGAAAGACCUCCACAUGAAUAGCUUUCCUUAGCAUCUUAGAGGGUAGAUUUCUAGCAAGUUCUGCCAGCAUAGCACCCCAGUGACUUCUCUGCCAGCCCAGGAGCCACAGCAGGCCAUGACCUCUCCAGCAAGGUCUGGAGCAGAGAGAAGCAUGUGUUUGGGUGCUCUAUCAGACCCACGGCCCACGGGUAGGGGCUGCUCCUUAUAUCUGCUAUUCCUCUGUUAUUUAAAGUUCUCUUUACUUCCUGUUAGCUAGUCCCCAUUAUAGUGAACUACUUCUCUUUUUCUUAACAGUUUUCUUUUGUAUUUUUUAAAAAUUGUGGCAAAAUACAUAUAGUAUAAAAUUU